This 227-nucleotide ribosomal RNA is filed under the name uncultured Enterobacterales bacterium. Its description in RNAcentral is "partial 16S ribosomal RNA". It matches the Rfam family "Bacterial small subunit ribosomal RNA", at positions 104 to 334 of the family's 1533-position model. Lineage: Bacteria; Pseudomonadati; Pseudomonadota; Gammaproteobacteria; Enterobacterales. The record is from RNAcentral.
GGGUGAGUAAUGGUCUGGGAAACUGCCUGAUGGAGGGGGAUAACUACUGGAAACGGUAGCUAAUACCGCAUAACGUCGCAAGACCAAAGAGGGGACCUUCGGGCCUCUUGCCAUCAGAUGUGCCCAGAUGGGAUUAGCUAGUAGGUGGGGUAACGGCUCACCUAGGCGACGAUCCCUAGCUGGUCUGAGAGGAUGACCAGCCACACUGGAACUGAGACACGGUCCAG